UAAGUCUUGCACUCAGGGAAGCUGGC
RNAcentral lists this non-coding RNA (26 nucleotides) under Rattus norvegicus (Norway rat). The record is from RNAcentral. Lineage: Eukaryota; Metazoa; Chordata; Mammalia; Rodentia; Muridae.